RNAcentral lists this ribosomal RNA (246 nucleotides) under uncultured bacterium. RNAcentral's name for it is "partial 16S ribosomal RNA". It matches the Rfam family "Bacterial small subunit ribosomal RNA", at positions 57 to 305 of the family's 1533-position model. The record is from RNAcentral.
GCAAGUCGAACGGUAACAGGUCUUCGGAUGCUGACGAGUGGCGCACGGGUGAGUAACGCGUACACAACCUACCUUUAAGAGGUGAAUACCCUCUGGAAACGGAGAAUAAUACACCAUAGUAUUAUCUGAUAGAUAAUUGGUUGAUUAAAGCUACGGCGCUUAAAGAUGGGUGUGCGUACUAUUAGCUAGUUGGUAAGGUAACGGCUUACCAAGGCGACGAUAGUUAGGGGGCGUGAGAGCGUGAAC